Triticum aestivum (bread wheat) is the source of this 125-nucleotide non-coding RNA. The record is from Rfam. Lineage: Eukaryota; Viridiplantae; Streptophyta; Magnoliopsida; Poales; Poaceae.
GAAAUACUCCCUCCGUCUGGAAUUACUUGUUGAAGAAAUGGAUAUAUCGACACGUAUUUUAGUUUUAAAUACAUCCAUUUUUAUUCAUUUUUGGGACAAGUAUUUUGGGACAGAGGGAGUAUUUA